AGGGUGACGAGGUGGUGCAUGGUUGUCGUCAGCUCGUGUCGUGAGAUGUUGGUUAAGUCCCGCAACGAGCGCAACCCUCGACCUUAGUUGCCAGCAUUCAGUUGGGCACUCUAAGGUGACUGCCGGCUAAAAGUCGGAGGAAGGUGGGGAUGACGUCAAAUCAUCAUGCCCCUUAUGACCUGGGCUACACACGUGCUACAAUGGGCGGGUACAAAGGGUCGCGAACCCGCGAGGGGGAGCCAAUCCCAAAAAGCCGCUCUCAGUUCGGAUUGCAGGCUGCAACUCGCCUGCACGAAGCCGGAAUCGCUAGUAAUCGCGGAUCAGCAUGCCGCGGUGAAUACGUUCCCGGGCCUU
RNAcentral lists this ribosomal RNA (354 nucleotides) under uncultured Anoxybacillus sp. RNAcentral describes it as "bacterial SSU rRNA". It matches the Rfam family "Bacterial small subunit ribosomal RNA", at positions 1027 to 1382 of the family's 1533-position model. Lineage: Bacteria; Bacillati; Bacillota; Bacilli; Caryophanales; Anoxybacillaceae. The record is from RNAcentral.